UGCAUUUGAUGUGUGCAUUUUUCAUGUAAUGCACAAAUUGAUCACAAGUGUUAAAAAUUUAAUGUAAAUGCAUAGAGCCAGCACAUUCAAGUAGUCUUGCAGUGCUAAAUUAGAUAAAAAAUAUCCGUAUUGAUUUUCUGAAAUUUUACUUUUUGAAGCACGUGCUUCUAAACUAUUCUUCCCCAUUAAUUUGUGCAGAGAGUGGAUCUUUCCAGCUGCCCACAGUUCACACCAUCACUUGUUCUCCUGUCGAUGCUUCCUUUUUCAUGCUAUGCAGGUCACAUGCUAGAAAAGAGCAUUAAGGAAUCUUUAAUUAACCGUGUGCGUCUAAAAGAGGACGCCUUUCACGUAUCACAAGCAUUGGGGCUAAUGUUGACUUUUAUUGAAGUAGAAGAGGUGGAUAUUUCAAAUUGUCCAAUGCUACAUCUUGAGGCUGCCAUUGAGUGCUUCUGCAAGUUCCCAUCAUUAAGAAAAUUAAAGGCAGCUUACUCUUUAGACUUCAAAACAAAGAUGAUGUGUCAAUUGGUACAAAAGUGCCCACUACUCUCUGACAUUGACCUAACUGUGGAUGUUACUCCUGUUAUACCUGGACGCGUGUCAAUUGUAUCUUCCUGGCCGGCCUUGCCACAAAGAUCUACAACAUAUUUCAACCUUGAUAAUUGUUAUUCUGCUGCCUCUUUUUCAUAUAUGUCGAGGCCAUUCCUCUCAAAUAUCACGAAACUCACGUUGGAAGGCCGAACCGACAUCAGAGGUAACUCUUUUUUUGAGGGGGGGGGGGGGGGGACAGGGAGAGAGAGAGAGAGAGAGAGAGAGAGAGUGUGUGUUCCCUCCACACUGCAGUCCCACCCCAAAGAACAAUGAACCAUGAUGCAUAUUUGUAUGUAUACAUAUAGGUGUAUCCUAGUCUCCUUUGCAUCCGAUGUCAUUAUUUUCACCUUUUUGGAAAUUCUUUUGGUUGCUUAAAAAUUAAGACAUUCAAUUUCAAUACAUAAAAGAAUUGGAUCUUAAGAGAUUCUCAUGCAAAGGGUGCCAGCUAGGAUUAUUUUGCUUUGAUCAAGAGUGUGUGUACCUACUACCCACCAUUCAUUGAACAUUAACUAGGUAGAUGGUCGUAGAUGUGGCUUGCUGCAUAUUUUUAGGUUGGAAAUCAUCUGUUACCGAACUGUUGAUGUAAGGGAAGAAGUCUGUUUGCUGUUUUCUUUCAUCUAUGCACUUCAAUGUGUAGCAUGUCCUCCACAGGUGUAAAUCAACAAAAUGAAAGAGAAAAAUGCAUAGACAAUAUAACAAGGAUGCGUCUUGUAAGUUCUUUCAGAAUAUCAAACAUAGGAGAUUGCAUUGCUAAAAAGCUCGUUUUCAAAUAGCAAAGAUAACUAAUGCUACUAUGGCAAUUGUAGUUGUGGAAAAAAGAAGCAAGUGGUGUUAUGGAAAUAUGUUAAUAUACGAAAGGUCAUACAGAAUUUUAACAUGGUAAAGAUUGGGCCUUCUUUGAUUAUAUAAGCUAAAACAAUAUUUAAAAAAUGUUUUGAGGCUGCACCUGGAGUCCUGCCUAACAUGAGGCUCUCUUUAAAAGCAUCAAAGCUCAUGCCUUGACUUAGUGAGGCUUACGCCUUAAGAAAAGCACCAUGCAACUUCAUAGUUGAAAACCUUUCAGAUGGCAGGAUCAAAGCCAAUCUUACAAGCAUACCAAUGGACAUAUAAUCCCUUUGCUGCUAACUUCCAAGCUAAUUCCACUAAUUCCUUUCGUUUCGAAAAACUCCUCAUCCAACAAAAGCAAAUUUAGUUCUCAAAUUGAUUAUCAAGUGCUAAGAGAUCCACUAUAGAACAGGCUGACGGAUAAAACUUAACCAAAUAAAACUGUUCGUCGAAAGAGUAAAAUCAAUUGUUUGGACUUGAGUAAGCUACAAAAAUAAGUAACUCCAUAUUCACCAUUGUAAAAUGAUUAUCAAGUUCUUGAAGUUGCAUCUCCACAAUCUGUUGAAUGUUUCUACAGGAUAACGGUUUAAAUUUUUGGUUUGUGCUAUAUAUCGUGCCUUAGGCUUUAAAGAUAUGAUCCAUGUUGGGAAUAGGAUGCUCUAUUUCUUCUUAUUAUCUGCAAUCUUUAUUGGCAUAUUUUAAGUAAUAGCAUUUAUGUAUCUUGAUCUUUUGCUAGCAAGAGCUUUUACAACUCAUUAUUACGCCUUAUUUUUAUCAGUAUAUGGGGGCUUCUAUGCGUUUCUUUUAAUUGGCCGGCCUUGUAAAAUUGAACUAUUUUUUGUUGGUUCAACAGAUUCUGAUCUCCAUGACAUCUCAGAGUUCUGUGCUUCCUUGUGCUACCUUAACCUUAACGGGUGUACUUCAUUGACGGACAAUGGUUUAUCAGUAAUAAUUCUGAAAUGUAAAAAACUACACUCAGUUUUGGUGUGUGAUACUUCUUUUGGGAAUAAUUCAAUUCUGGCACUUUGCUAUGGGAUUUCUGUUGCGGAAUCCAAAAGAGGAAACUACUCUCACACGACGGCUUCGAAGUGUCAAACCCUGCAUAUUGGUGGCUGCAAUGGUGAGCAACAUUUCCUUUGUCCACUCUCACCCUCUUUUAUUUUCAGUAUUCCAGGAAAGUAAAGAGAAAUUCAAUUUUCAAAAGUUUUUUAUGUCAGUAUGUGUCAGAAGUUUUUCUGAUGGAAAUGUGUUUUUUUUAUAAAGUCUUUCAUAAUAUCAGAGUGAGCAUGAUUUUAUAUUUGGUUCACUUGAGUAUUUUUGAGACUUUUUCCUCAUUUGAGUAUAAUCUCAAUUGAUGUGUCUGCCAGUAUCUUUGAUGGUAUACACAAUCAAAUAUGUAUAGCUAACAGCUGGAAUACAUUAUAGUACACACGCAUCAAAUAUGUUUAACUUAAUCUUGUGAAUGUCAUAUAUACAAUUUAUUCUCAACACUAUCCACUUCUUCCCUUCUUUGGCAGGGAUAAAUGAAACAGCUUUGUCAGAGCUUCUCUCUGGAGCAAAUAAUUUGACGAGUCUGUGUUUGCGGGAGAUUCAACUUGAUGACAAUGCUCUUUAUUGUUUUUCAGGAUCCUCCUUGGAGAUGCUUGAUAUUUCUGAUACAAAGGUGCAGAGGCAGUCUAAAGGGAAAUUUUGUUUGUUUCUAGAAAGGAUUCCUCUAAAACCAUUCACUUUUUAUCAUGGAAUUCAUAUAAAUCACUUUACCUAAGAUCUCUUAUGAAUGCGGCAACUGGAAACUUGAACUGAACAUUGCAUAUAGAGUUUGAACUUCUGUUUUCACAACCUGCUUUCACCCGUCAAACCUAAGUCUGAAUAUCUGAAAAUCUUUAAAGCUUUUUGGGCUAGGCUAACUGAAAAACUGGGCUGCUAGAUCUUGUUUUUUGGAAGUUGACAGUUAACCUUUCAAAAGAUAUGUAUAUUUGUCAGAUACAUAAUUUUUCUGCAUGAGUUGCAAGAACUUCACGGUGGUUCAUUAGUUUCAUAUCAAUACCCAUCUGGAAUUGCAUGCAUCUGUCAAUUUCUUGAUGCCAUCUCUUUUAAGAGAGUACCCGUGUGUAAAUUGAGUCCUGAACUCGAGACUCGAAGCUUCGUGGGUUAGACUAUUUUUAUUUCCCACUUGCACGGUCUUGCAAGGAUAAGUUACGAAGGUUGUGCACUUGGCUUAAUCCCCAUGUUCAGGAAUUAGUUAUUAGCAAUGCAUGACAGACCUCUAUUAUACUUCGAUUGGGAUGUGAUAGCACGACGGAUGCAUAUGCUUGGUGGUGUCUUGCUCUAUUUCUUCAUCAAGUUUAAAAGAAAGAAUAUUUGUCUUUACUGUUUACUUUUGUCUUGUUAGAACCAAUCUUGAGUUGUACUGAAUAAAUAAAAUGUAUCAAGCUAACCCAUAAAUAAUGUGCUUGUGAUAUUUCAGGUUUCUGCUGCUGCUUUGGCUCAUGUGAUUUAUAGAAAUCCCGAUCUAAAAUGUUUGAAAGCAAGAGGCUGUAGGCAUUUGCUAGUAAAGGAAAGUAAGACGGAAGAGAGAAACUUGCCUGCUUUAUUGCGUACUCCAAAAGAGUGGUACUCUGAGCUUGGCAAGUCCUGCAAAUUGGACGAGAUUCAACUUGGAUGGGGUUUUUCAUCUCUUUAUAUGGAAGCACUUAAACCGGCAUUUAGAACAUUAAGAACGGUAGUUGUUGGUUUAGGUGGAUCCUUGGGCCAAGAUGGGCUGAAGCAGUUAUCAGAUAUCUGUCCUUUGAUUGAGACCAUGGUUCUAUAUUUUCAGGUAAUGAUUGUUUAGGAGAUAUAAUUAAUGUCAUCCGUAGCAAAUUAUCCGAUCAUCAUAAUUGAUGAGUGUUGAUUGCAAGCUUUGCAUAAAAUGUUCAAGAUUUAGGUUGUAUAUUUUCUCUUGACCAGCAAGAGUGAGACAACAGUGGAACUAAAACGGUAUAAGAAUAGAAAUAUUAUACUCAUAGGAACUAGGUCUUGGCAUUUUCUAGUUUGCUCAUUGGUACUCUCUCUCUCUCUCUCAUAAUUCUUUUAUCUCCCAGCAGCAAAAGGCAACUAUCAUUGAACAUCACUUAUCAGUUAAAACCUCUCACGUGAACCAUAUGUUUCUGAUGAAGUUGGAAGCUUUGGUGAUCUCCUGAUCACUAGAGUACAAUUUAUGGAGCUUUUUCGGUGAUCGUUUUUAGUUAUAUGAUAUACUAACUGAUGCUUGAAGCCAUGCACUAAUACAUUGUCUGAUGUUAACAGGUGAUAACUGAUUCUACUAUAAUGCAUGUUAUGAAAACCUUGUUGCAGUUGCAAGUCUUGGCUCUAUCCUAUUGCAUUGGUGAGAUUUCAUCAUUAAGCUUUAAGUUCUUGAUGCCGAAUCUGAAGAACCUGAAACUUGAAAGAGUAACACCAUGGAUGUCAAAUGAAGAUUUGGUUAAUCUGACACAGAAUUGCCCCAAGUUAGUCAAGCUUUCAUUGACAGGGUGCACAAUGCUUAAUUCAGGCGAGUAAUUUCUACCUGAUAACCAGUCUGUAGAAAUUUCAAUGACACUAAAUGCAAUUUUCAUGCAGUGUGACUCUAAUAAGAAUUCUUAUGCUCUGAGUUUCAUAAGCUGCUGUAUAAUCGAGAAUUAAUACUCGUAUAUCAUUUUUUAUUAUAUACAUGCAUCCUUUUGUCUGGGGAUGACUGAGUGAAGUGAUUUGAAUACUGGCUAAAAUAAUAAUAAAAACUUUUCCUUUCCCUUGUUAUGUUCUUUUCAGAAUCCCAAGAUAUUAUUUCAAGUGGUUGGCCAGGGUUGAUAUCCAUUCAUCUUGAGGUUUGCUGUCACCAUUUUCUCUUGGGAUGCCUUUUUAUUAUUUUUUUAAAAAGAUAUGUAGAUCUUACAUUUGCUACCAACUUUGCAAGAGGAGGAUAAAGACUGAAAUACUAUUAUCUGAUAGUAAAUUUGCUAUUACUUUUUUUGUUUUUGCAUACACCUAAGCAGAUGACCUAAACAAUAUUAACAGUUUUGUGUAACCCAAUUCCUGACUAAGGGCAGAUUUUCGACCCCUUUUUUUUUUUCCCUUAUUUUUGCAACCUCUUGCUACAUCUCUAAAAUUUUCUUCUAUACCUGUGAUUCACCCAAUUUUAUUGAGUGUAGAGGAUGGACAAAGUAGCAAUUAAAAAUUAAAACUUGUCUAAACUUGAGGGGCAUGUUGAAGACAACAUUAAAUGAUAUAAAUUGUGUCCUUAUCUAAUAGCUUAAGCAUUUAGAUCAAGCCGUUUAACAUGGUGUCACAUCAAGCAAAGGUCAGUCAAGUCUCGGCUCUGUCCAUUUAAAUGAAUUGUCCACAUGUUAAGUUUUGAUGGACGUGUUGUCGAUGGUAUUUGAAUGAUAUAAAUAUGCCCUAUCUAACAAUUUAAGCUAUUAGAUCAAGUGGUUCAACAAUAAUGAUUGCUGCUGUUAUUUUCCAAUUAGAUUCACCACCUUUCAUAAAGAGAAGUUUUCUAACCUCUUUCAAAAUUCCAAAAUGUGAAAGAAGAACUGUUUUAUAAGUUCAAAAUCAACAAAGAAUUUAAAGUUUUCUGAACAUGCAUGUGAGGGUCUUCAAUUACAAGAGAAGUUCACAGGGAGAGGUGGUCCAUAAUUUGAUCAAGAACGAACCAUUUUUGAUAUGUGCCAGUCCUCUUGCUAGUGAGCACUCAUGUACCAUUAAAGAUUAAGAAGCAAAAUGGAUCAAAGGAAAGAGGAGGUAACAAAGUUAAAAUCAUGAAGUUGGUAAGAAGCAAAAGGGAAGAAAUUACUGCCUGAAGUUGGCCUUGGGCCUUCUUUGAAUCUGAAUUAUAUAAUUCUUUUUUCAUUUAGGGAAUAGAAUCCUUCCUUGAAAGUCAUUUUGAGUUCCCCCAAAGGAUUUCUCCAGUUGUCAAUUACUAUAACUUGCACAAACAGCAAACAGGCAUUCUCUUUGUUGGCCACUAUAUACAUCUACAGGGUACUUUAUCCCCUGAAGUUGGCAUUUGGUAUGCAAGAGCAUAUGCACAGUAUAGGAAUGGACUUGUGAAAUGAAUGAAGAUGGGAAUGAAAUGCAAUAGACAUGGGAUAUCUCAUGUUUGGUUUGUCUAGGAAUAAGAACAGCAAUGGGAUCAGGUUCCACAUUUUUGAUUUCUUAUAUUUGGUCUGUUAUGAAGCAUGGUAAUGAAAUACAGAUUGUGAAAUGGCUAUGCAUACCUUACUGAAAUUUUAUAUUUUAAGCAUUAAUUCAUGUAAUUGGGAAAAUAAUGUCACAUGUCAGAAUUUGAAAACACGUUGCAUUCCAGAUUAUCUAGAUGCUUACGCUGGAUGGAAUGCCAUGAGCCUACUCGAUAUCUUCCUUGCCUGCUUCACUAGAGGGGGAAAAAAUAGGGAGAGGAAGAUAAAUAUUUUUGAAUCUUUCUUCUGUCAAUGGUUGAACCUUCUUGCCCAUGCUUCUACAAGAAGAAGAAGAGAAGCCUAAUCAGACACUAAACUACAGUUACCUUACUGAAGACUCAAAAGAAAAAAUUGAAGAUUAGAUUUUUGAGACAUCUGAAGAUCAAAUUUGCAGAUUCAAUGCUUAAUUCCAUGGUUCUUGAGUUCAUGCUCUCUCAUAUUUUAAUAAUAUCUUCUUGGUGGUUAUUUUACAUGUUCUUUCUAUUGAGAAUGUUUAUACGAGUGUAGUUCAUCUUCUAAGUUGCUUUCUCACUAUCAUAAAUUCAAUGUCUUUUAUGGAAUUUACACCAACAUUAAGGAGGAGGAGCCAAAUCGAUAGAAAUUAAAACCUGAAAUUGGGAAGAGAUGCAAAAGUUUGGCGGUGUUGAAAUUUGUUAAAAAACGGGGGUUCCAUUUUUGUGAAAGAGACCAUAAUUAUAAACCCCACCAAAAUGAGAGCAGUAUCUACGAUAUAGGAUGAAGUGAAUAUAAAUAUUAUUUCAUUCAUUUGAUUGAUGUAUUUCAUCAUCAGUUCUUAUCCUUUUCGGUAUCUUUGUAACAGCGCAUGUUAUUUGUUGUUUAGGACUGUGGAGAAGUAACAACCAAUGACGUUGUAUCUCUUCUGGACUGUCAUGCCCUUGAAGAUCUUAUGCUACGUCACACUGUGAGUCUUCAACACUGGUUUUUUCUCAUGUGGUGUGGCUUGUUUUAACUUUUGGAGGCUAGAUAAUUAACUUAAUUCUAAUUAGGGGUGGUUGCAAUCUGAUCCUAUUAUCCUUCAUUAUAGUUACCAACUGGUUCUCUGCAAAAGAUGAUGAAUUUGAACUUUCCCGUUUUUGCCUCCUUCGGUUUCUUUUUCUUUUUCCUUCAAACAAAAUGAAUAAUUGGACAGCAAAUGUACGACCCGAAGAAAUUACAAGACAAAAUACUUCAUGUUUCCUGUUUCCUGUCCUCCUAGUAUUAUGUGGCAUAUAUUAGGGAUGAACUUUUUGGUUGGUAUAACCUGAGAUCUCAAUCUAGGUAGCAUUCCUUUGACAAGGUACAUAAUGUUUGGAUUUAUAUAUUAGGCAAUCUUUAGUAUCGCAUAAUAGAUGAUAUAUAAGCACAAGAUUGUGAUGAAGACUACCAAUUGCUUGGACUUCGAUUCAGAGUAUGACAGAGAUAAUACAAAAUAUCCCUUUCUUUUCCUCUUCAACCCCUUAACUCCAACCCUAUCACACCCACAACACAGACAUCAAACUGCAAGGUAUAUACAUUAUACUAGUCCUAAUAAUAUAUCGGCACCUAAAAACACUGAACUGUUUUCAAUUUUGUGAAGUUCCAUUCAAUUAUUAUGAUCUCACUAGACAUUUCAUCAAACACUAAUUUCGAAUUCUUGGUCUACCUACAAAAUUCGAAGCUUUAUUUUUGUGAACUAGCAACUUGCUGAUUCUGGAGUGAAUUGUGCUUUAAAUAUUUAGGGCCCUGGAAUUACGAGAAAUUUCAUCAUUUAUGCUGCUUACAAGGUAAUUAUGGCUGCUCACAUGGAAUUACCGUAUUUGGACAUUGUUUUUUCUCAAAUUGUUUGAAGUUCCCCGUUUUAUUGUGUAUUUUUGGUGCCUGCAGUUACCAAUGCUUCGAAAAAUAUCACUUGAUAGAUGUGAUGCAAGGGAUGGAGACUUUGACAUUCCAAAUGUAAGAAAUCUUCUUGGCAUAUUAUAAUUUCACCCAUUACCAUUAUGUAGAUGCAAAGUGUUUGACAAACCUGUGAAACUUCACGUGAAAGGCGUUAUCAUUUCAUGGUGCAGUCAUUAUGUAUUUCAUUAUUUCCUUAAUAUAAUCCGGGGGUUUUUGAAGCUUAUAUUCUUGUAUCUUGUGGUUUGGGUAGAAUUGGAUUAGGAUAAAAAGUGAUUAGUUCUACGGUUAAUUAGGCUUUUUAGUAUUGCUAGUCUACAGAAGAAAUAUUAAUCCAUGUUGGACAACUAGAAUUGUUUUCAUUAAGCAACAAAAAUAACAUCACUAAUUGCAUUAACGUGUAAACUUCUUGUUUAUCCAGGUAUUUAUAGUGAAUGUUAUCUUACUGAUAUUACGGACCUGCUCCAGUGUGAUGACAGGUACUUCUUAAGUAGUGUGAAGAUUGCUAGAUGUAAGCUUCGACCCUGCACCUUUGACCUUCAUAAUCCGGAGGGCCGGAGAACCCCCGUGCAUAAAGAAACUUUAAUAUUGGAGUGGAACAGUGAAAAGCUCACAAGAAUUGUGGUGAAGGAAAGACUUUAAUUUCCACGCUUGAAAUCAGAUAUAACAUCUAUGGAAACACUGUGAAGCAUAUGGAAUGCACAAUGUGUUACUGUACAUUAUUUCGACUCCUGCACUCUAAAAGCAUGUUGGAUAUCACUUGGUCUGUAAUAGAUAAUGUUAAUUUAGGUCUUAUAGUAACAUGAAACUAUGUCAUGUUCAGUAAAUUUGAAAAAAAG
Molecule: long non-coding RNA, 9322 nt
Filed under: Olea europaea subsp. europaea
Lineage: Eukaryota; Viridiplantae; Streptophyta; Magnoliopsida; Lamiales; Oleaceae
Source: RNAcentral